RNAcentral lists this ribosomal RNA (762 nucleotides) under bacterium enrichment culture clone PA_31. Its description in RNAcentral is "bacterial SSU rRNA". It matches the Rfam family "Bacterial small subunit ribosomal RNA", at positions 1 to 801 of the family's 1533-position model. The record is from RNAcentral.
UAGAGUUUGAUCCUGGCUCAGAAUCAACGCUGGCGGCGUGCCUAACACAUGCAAGUCGCACGAGAAAGGGGCUUCGGCUCUGAGUAAAGUGGCGCACGGGUGAGUAACACGUGAAUUAUCUACCUCCGAGUGGGGAAUAACUGAGAGAAAUCUUAGCUAAUACCGCAUAACACUUACGAGUCAAAGCAGCAAUGCGCUUGGAGAGGAGUUCGCGGCCGAUUAGUUAGUUGGCGGGGUAAUGGCCCACCAAGGCGAUGAUCGGUAUCCGGCCUGAGAGGGCGCACGGACACACUGGAACUGAAACACGGUCCAGACUCCUACGGGAGGCAGCAGUGGGGAAUUUUGCGCAAUGGGGGAAACCCUGACGCAGCAACGCCGCGUGGAGGAUGAAAUCCCUUGGGAUGUAAACUCCUUUCGAUAGGGAAGAUUAUGACGGUACCUAUAGAAGAAGCCCCGGCUAACUUCGUGCCAGCAGCCGCGGUAAUACGAGGGGGGCAAGCGUUGUUCGGAAUUAUUGGGCGUAAAGGGCGCGUAGGCGGUUUGACAAGUCUGAUGUGAAAUCUCUGGGCUCAACCCAGAGUCUGCAUUAGAAACUGUCGGGCUUGAGUAUGGGAGAGGUGAGUGGAAUUUCCGGUGUAGCGGUGAAAUGCGUAGAUAUCGGAAGGAACACCUGUGGCGAAAGCGGCUCACUGGACCAUAACUGACGCUGAGGCGCGAAAGCUAGGGGAGCAAACAGGAUUAGAUACCCUGGUAGUCCUAGCC